GAUGAAGAACGCAGCGAAAUGGGAUAAGUAAUGUGAAUUGCAGAAUUCAGUGAAUCAUCGAAUCUUUGAACGCACAUUGCGCCCGGUAGUAUUCUGCCGGGCAUGCCUGUUCGAGCGUCAUUUCAACCAUCAAGCCCCAGCGCUUGUGUUGGGGGCCUGCGGCUGCCGCAGCCCCCUAAAAGCAGUGGCGGGCUCGCUAUCACACCGAGUGCAGUAGUUCAUCUUCUCUCCGGUCUUGUGAGGCGGGUUCCGGCCGUGAAACACCCCACUACAUUCAAGGUUGACCUCGGAUCAGGCAGGAAUACCCGCUGAACUUAAGCAUAUCAAUAAGCGGAGGA
RNAcentral lists this unclassified non-coding RNA (338 nucleotides) under soil metagenome. Its description in RNAcentral is "partial contains 5.8S ribosomal RNA, internal transcribed spacer 2, and large subunit ribosomal RNA". The stretch from base 1 to 120 matches the Rfam family "5.8S ribosomal RNA", at positions 35 to 154 of the family's 154-position model. The record is from RNAcentral.